UGGGGAAUAUUGCACAAUGGGCGCAAGCCUGAUGCAGCCAUGCCGCGUGUGUGAAGAAGGCCUUCGGGUUGUAAAGCACUUUCAGCGAGGAGGAAGGUGGUGAGCUUAAUACGCUCAUCAAUUGACGUUACUCGCAGAAGAAGCACCGGCUAACUCCGUGCCAGCAGCCGCGGUAAUACGGAGGGUGCAAGCGUUAAUCGGAAUUACUGGGCGUAAAGCGCACGCAGGCGGUUUGUUAAGUCAGAUGUGAAAUCCCCGGGCUCAACCUGGGAACUGCAUUUGAAACUGGCAAGCUAGAGUCUCGCAGAGGGGGGUAGAAUUCCAGGUGUAGCGGUGAAAUGCGUAGAGAUCUGGAGGAAUACCGGUGGCGAAGGCGGCCCCCCUGGACGAAGACUGACGCUCAGGUGCGAAAGCGUGGGGCAGCAAACAGGAUUAGAUACCCUGGUAGUCCAGCGCUGUAAACGAUGUCGAUUUGGAGGUUGUGCCCCUUGAGGCGUGGCUUCCGGAGCUAACGCGUUAAAUCGACCGCCUGGGGAGUACGGCCGCAAGGUUAAAACUCAAAGGAAUUGACGGGGUCUAGCUG
Molecule: ribosomal RNA, 583 nt
Filed under: uncultured bacterium
Lineage: Bacteria
Description: partial 16S ribosomal RNA
Rfam family: Bacterial small subunit ribosomal RNA
Source: RNAcentral